GACGAACGCUGGCGGCGUGCUUAACACAUGCAAGUCGUACGGUAAGGCCCUUUCGGGGGUACACGAGUGGCGCACGGGUGAGUAACACGUGAGUAACCUGCCCACAACUUUGGGAUAACGCUAGGAAACUGGUGCUAAUACUGGAUAUGUGCUCCUGCUGCAUGGUGGGGGUUGGAAAGCUCCGGCGGUUGUGGAUGGACUCGCGGCCUAUCAGCUUGUUGGUGGGGUAGUGGCCUACCAAGGCGGCGACGGGUAGCCGGCCUGAGAGGGUGACCGGCCACAUUGGGACUGAGAUACGGCCCAGACUCCUACGGGAGGCAGCAGUGGGGAAUAUUGCACAAGGGGCGCAAGCCUGAUGCAGCAACGCCGCGUGCGGGAUGACGGCCUUCGGGUUGUAAACCGCUUUCAGCAGGGACGAAGCUUUUUGUGACGGUACCUGCAGAAGAAGCACCGGCUAACUACGUG
RNAcentral lists this ribosomal RNA (465 nucleotides) under uncultured bacterium. RNAcentral describes it as "partial 16S ribosomal RNA". It matches the Rfam family "Bacterial small subunit ribosomal RNA", at positions 28 to 507 of the family's 1533-position model. The record is from RNAcentral.